Molecule: long non-coding RNA, 1318 nt
Filed under: Callithrix jacchus (white-tufted-ear marmoset)
Lineage: Eukaryota; Metazoa; Chordata; Mammalia; Primates; Cebidae
Description: lncRNA (ENSCJAG00000080078.1)
Source: RNAcentral
ACAGUCCUUACAUCUGUGACUUCACGGUCGAAAGAUGGGUCCAGACGUCAGCUUCUGUCUGACACAGCCUCCUAGUGCGCCUCUCCUAUUAUCACCAAGUUAAACUCUUUCCCAGAAGCCCACAGCCACACUGGGUCAUAUGGCUACCCCUAGCCAAAUGGCUGGAAAAACAAUAUCUGGGUUUUUAAAUCCCUGAAGUGGGACGUGGGCAAAAGAGGGAAGGAAGGGUUGAUGAAUCAACCAACAGUGUCUGGCACAGGGAGGGCCAAUGCAGUGAGGUGGGAGCUUGAAUUAGUCAGGCUGUAGCCUUCUGUAUUAGUCAGGGUUCUCUAGAGGGACAGAACUAAUGGGAUAGAGAGAUAUAUAUAAAGGGAAAUGUAUUAAGUAUCAACUCAUAUGAUCACAAGGUCCCACAAUAGGCCAUCUGCAAGCUGAGGAGCAAGGAAGCCAGUCUGAGUCCUAAAACUGAAGAACUUGGGGUCCACGAUUCAAGGGCAGGAAGCAGCCAGCACAGAAGAAAGAUGCAGGCUGGGAGGUCUCCCAGGGAGGAAGAGCCAGAGGAGACAGAAGGAAUAGCCAGAGAGUUGGGAGAAAAACCAGGAGUAUGUGGCAUCACGGAAGUCAAGGAGCUCUCAGAGCACAUUCUUUGCUCUAGUUUGUAUCCCUUAGACCAGGGAUCCUCAACCUCCCUCGGGGACCGCACAGUAGGAGGUGAGCAGCGGGUAAGUGAGCAAAGCUUUCACGUACUUAUGGCCGCUCUCCAUCACUCACGGGACCACCCAAGCUCCACCAUCAGAUCAGCAGCAGCAUUAGAGUCUCAUAGGAGCAAGAACCCUGUUGUGAACUGCAGGUGCGAGGGAUCUAGGUUGCCAGCUCCUUGUGAAACUCGAAUGCCUGAUGAUCUGCAACUGUCUCCCAUCCCUCCCAGAUGGGACCAACUCCUUGCAGGAAAACAAGCUCAGGGUCCCACUGAUUCUACGUUACGGUGAGUUGUAUAAUUAUUUCAUUAUAUAUUACUACGUAAUCAUCAUAGAAAUAAAGUGCACAGUAAAUGUAAUGCACCUGAAUCAUUCCAAAACCAUCCCCCACUCCCACCCCAAGACCAUGGAAAAAUUGGCUUCCAUAAAACUGGUCCCUGGUGCCAAAAAGGCUUGAGGUCACCACCCUAGACAGAGUAGGGAUGCUGGAGACGGAACGAGUGAUGCAGGAGGGGAGGUAUUGGUAAGAGGUCGUGAGCUGAAAAGUGGUACAGAGUAGAAAUAACUCCUUGAGAGGAUGAAGGGGCAGCUUAUGAUACAAGAAGGGAAAAGAAAGGGGU